This 212-nucleotide long non-coding RNA is filed under the name Nicotiana benthamiana. Its description in RNAcentral is "long non-coding RNA (NBEN_LNC039520)". Lineage: Eukaryota; Viridiplantae; Streptophyta; Magnoliopsida; Solanales; Solanaceae. The record is from RNAcentral.
GGCAGUUUAGCUUGUGUAAUGGAAUUGGUAGAAAGAGUCCUUGAUGUGUUUUAGCGUUAUUCGAAGAUGGGUAUAUUUCCUAUGGGCAUGCGAAGCAUGGAGUGCGUAAUAAUUUUUCUCCUAUAUGGGAUCCUGAAGUUCUUGAUUAGUUGAAUGCGUCGAUUUUUGCGGCACAUGAGAGAGAUAUAAGUCCUCAUAUUAUCCUAGUGUGG